UACGGAGGGUGCGAGCGUUGUCCGGAUUUAUUGGGUUUAAAGGGUGCGUAGGUGGCUUAAUAAGUCAGUGGUGAAAUACAGCCGCUCAACGGUUGAGGUGCCAUUGAUACUGUUAAGCUUGAAACAAGUGGAGGUUGCCGGAAUGGAUGGUGUAGCGGUGAAAUGCAUAGAUAUCAUCCAGAACACCGAUUGCGAAGGCAGGUGACUGCGUUUGAUUUGACACUGAGGCACGAAAGCAUGGGGAGCAAACAGG
This 253-nucleotide ribosomal RNA is filed under the name uncultured bacterium. Its description in RNAcentral is "partial 16S ribosomal RNA". It matches the Rfam family "Bacterial small subunit ribosomal RNA", at positions 524 to 776 of the family's 1533-position model. The record is from RNAcentral.